GACGAACGCUGGCGGCGUGCUUAACACAUGCAAGUCGAGCGGUAAGGCCCUUUCGGGGGUACACGAGCGGCGAACGGGUGAGUAACACGUGGGUGACCUGCCCUCAGCUCUGGGAUAAGCCUGGGAAACCGGGUCUAAUACCGGAUAUGACUCCAUGACGCAUGUUGUGGGGUGGAAAGCCUUGUGCGGCUGAGGAUGGGCCCGCGGCCUAUCAGCUUGUUGGUGGGGUGAUGGCCUACCAAGGCGACGACGGUAGCCGGCCUGAGAGGCGACCGGCCACACUGGGACUGAGACACGGCCCAGACUCCUACGGGAGGCAGCAGUGGGGAAUCUUGCGCAAUGGGCGAAAGCCUGACGCAGCGACGCCGCGUGAGGGAUGACGGCC
This 385-nucleotide ribosomal RNA is filed under the name uncultured bacterium. RNAcentral describes it as "bacterial SSU rRNA". It matches the Rfam family "Bacterial small subunit ribosomal RNA", at positions 28 to 416 of the family's 1533-position model. The record is from RNAcentral.